RNAcentral lists this ribosomal RNA (381 nucleotides) under Triticum aestivum (bread wheat). RNAcentral describes it as "partial small subunit ribosomal RNA". The record is from RNAcentral. Lineage: Eukaryota; Viridiplantae; Streptophyta; Magnoliopsida; Poales; Poaceae.
AUGAGGAAAUUCAAGGUGUUCGUCCAUGUAUCCGCCAUACCUGUCGGGUCUGAGGAAGCCGAUGAGCGGCUGGAGCCAGACGAGGCCGUAGAGGGCGACCCCGAUCCGCUGGUGGGUGUUGUUGAAGGCGUUCUGGAAGUUGGUGAUCGACAGCGCCGCGGCGGCGGUGGCCAGGGCCACGCCGGCGACCUGCGCGGCGACGUGGCAGUAGAAGAGGACCCUGACGGCCUUGGCGCUCUUCACGUUGCUCGAGAACCUGAUCAGCAGCACGCCGAUCGGCAUGAGGAAGCCGACGGAGGACCAGAGGAGGAAGGCGUGGAGCUUGAGCUGCAGCGACAGCUUGGGCGUCAGCUGCAAAAACAACAGUUCAUCCAAGUGUAA